This 490-nucleotide ribosomal RNA is filed under the name uncultured bacterium. RNAcentral describes it as "bacterial SSU rRNA". It matches the Rfam family "Bacterial small subunit ribosomal RNA", at positions 28 to 506 of the family's 1533-position model. The record is from RNAcentral.
GAUGAACGCUAGCGGCAGGCUUAAUACAUGCAAGUUGAGGGGCAGCAUGAUAUACGCGAGUAUAUUGAUGGCGACCGGCGGACGGGUGAGUAAUAGGUAGGAGACCUACCUCAUACAGGGGGAUAGCAUAGAGAAAUCUGUGGUAAUACCCCAUGAGGUUAUAUGAAUAGAGGCAUAUAAUCAAAGCAUAAGCGAUUAUGCGGUAUGAGAGGGGCCUACUGACCAUUAGCUAGUUGGUGAGGUAAGGGCUCACCAAGGCGAAGAUGGUUAGGGGUUUGAGAGAGAGACCCCCAAUUGGAACUGAGAGACGGUCCAGACUCCUACGGGAGGCAGCAGUAGGGAAUAUUGGGCAAUGGGCGAAAGCCUGACCCAGCCAUGCCGCGCGAAGGAAGACGGCCUUAUGGGUUGUAAACUUCUUUACUACGCGAAUAGAGGUUAGUACGAGAUACUAAUAGGAAGUAGUGUAGUAAAAAGCACCGGCUAACUCCGU